Molecule: ribosomal RNA, 490 nt
Filed under: Piranga ludoviciana (western tanager)
Lineage: Eukaryota; Metazoa; Chordata; Aves; Passeriformes; Cardinalidae
Description: partial 16S ribosomal RNA
Rfam family: Bacterial large subunit ribosomal RNA
Source: RNAcentral
ACAAGUAUUGAAGGUGAUGCCUGCCCGGUGACUCACGUUCAACGGCCGCGGUAUCCUAACCGUGCAAAGGUAGCGCAAUCAAUUGUCCCAUAAAUCGAGACUAGUAUGAAUGGCUAAACGAGGUCUUAACUGUCUCUUACAGGCAAUCGGUGAAAUUGAUCUCCCUGUACAAAAGCAGGGAUAAACCCAUAAGACGAGAAGACCCUGUGGAACUUUAAAACCAGAGACCACCUCAAAACACAUACCACACCCAUCGGGUUCACUGACACACGAGCUACUGGUCUACGUUUUUCGGUUGGGGCGACCUUGGAGCAAAACAGAACCUCCAAAAAUUAGACCAUACCUCUAAACUGAGAGCAACCCCUCAACGUGCUAAUAGCACCCAGACCCAAUAUAAUUGAUCAAUGGACCAAGCUACCCCAGGGAUAACAGCGCAAUCUCCCCCGAGAGUCCGUAUCGACGGGGAGGUUUACGACCUCGAUGUUGGAUC